RNAcentral lists this ribosomal RNA (445 nucleotides) under uncultured bacterium. Its description in RNAcentral is "partial 16S ribosomal RNA". It matches the Rfam family "Bacterial small subunit ribosomal RNA", at positions 354 to 796 of the family's 1533-position model. The record is from RNAcentral.
GUGAGGAAUAUUGCGCAAUGGAGGCAACUCUGACGCAGUCAUGCCGCGUGCAGGAAGAAGGCGCUACGCGUUGUAAACUGCUUUUAACCGGGAAGAAACCCCAGGACGUGUCCUGGGUUGACGGUACCGGAGGAAUAAGCACCGGCUAACUUCGUGCCAGCAGCCGCGGUAAUACGAAGGGUGCAAGCGUUAUCCGGAUUCAUUGGGUUUAAAGGGUGCGUAGGCGGAGCGUUAAGUCAGUGGUGAAAUCCUGCAGCUUAACUGUAGACUUGCCAUUGAUACUGGCGCUCUUGAGUGCGCUUGAAGUGGGCGGAAUGUGCCGUGUAGCGGUGAAAUGCUUAGAUAUGGCACAGAACACCAAUUGCGAAGGCAGCUCACUAAGGCGAUACUGACGCUGAGGCACGAAAGCGUGGGGAUCGAACAGGAUUAGAUACCCUGGUAGUCC